GUACUAUUAGCUUAGUCGGUUAGAGCAGACGGCUCAUAACCGUCCGGUCGUAGGUUCGAGUCCUACAGGGUACA
RNAcentral lists this transfer RNA (74 nucleotides) under Enterococcus faecium. RNAcentral's name for it is "tRNA-Ile". It matches the Rfam family "tRNA". Rfam says of the family: Transfer RNA (tRNA) molecules are approximately 80 nucleotides in length. Their secondary structure includes four short double-helical elements and three loops (D, anti-codon, and T loops). The record is from RNAcentral. Lineage: Bacteria; Bacillati; Bacillota; Bacilli; Lactobacillales; Enterococcaceae.